GGGUAUAGCUGAGCGGUAGAGUGAGUGCUUGGCAUGCACGAGGUCCUGGGUUCAAUCCCCAGUACCUCCA
Molecule: transfer RNA, 70 nt
Filed under: Camelus bactrianus (Bactrian camel)
Lineage: Eukaryota; Metazoa; Chordata; Mammalia; Artiodactyla; Camelidae
Also listed under: 1 other name
Rfam family: tRNA
About the family: Transfer RNA (tRNA) molecules are approximately 80 nucleotides in length.
Source: Rfam by way of RNAcentral